Molecule: transfer RNA, 73 nt
Filed under: bacterium
Lineage: Bacteria
Description: tRNA-Ala
Rfam family: tRNA
About the family: Transfer RNA (tRNA) molecules are approximately 80 nucleotides in length. Their secondary structure includes four short double-helical elements and three loops (D, anti-codon, and T loops).
Source: RNAcentral
GGGGGAUUAGCUCAAUUGGUAGAGCACCUGCUUUGCACGCAGGGGGUUAAGAGUUCGAGUCUCUCAUCCUCCA